Sinocyclocheilus grahami is the source of this 290-nucleotide long non-coding RNA. RefSeq lists it as uncharacterized. The record is from RefSeq and is a predicted model, not a curated record. Lineage: Eukaryota; Metazoa; Chordata; Actinopteri; Cypriniformes; Cyprinidae. The transcript has 3 exons.
GAGUCUCUUGAACUCGAUACAGAUUUGGUCCGAGGCACAUCAGGGCAGAAUCCGCUAUGAUCAGGUUGUACAAUGGCUGGACAAGAGCGGCCCCAUACGAAUCACUAAGAGUGGCGGAUAUCGGUGACAUUAAUGUUAACCUCUUUGACCUGAAGGACACCUGCAAAAAAAUACGAGAGGCUUAUCGUGAAAUUGUGGCCACUGGCUGCAUCCCACUUACAAUGGGAGGUGAUCAUACAAUCGCAUACCCAAUUCUACAAGCCGUUGCUGAGAGGUUGGGUCCAGCGGGA